GACGAACGCUGGCGGCGUGCCUAACACAUGCAAGUCGAACGGCAAGGCCGUAAGAUUGUGGGGUUCCCGGGUGGCGAACGGGUGAGGGACAAGUAAAUAACCGGACCUUGACUUUGGGGUGGGUUCAGGAAACUGGAGCUAAUACCAGAUAGGAGCUCACGCUGCGUGGUGGGGGUUGGAAAGUUUCGGCGGUUGGGGAUGGAUGGGCGGCUUAUCAGCUAGUUGGUGGGGUAAGGGCCCACCCAGGCGAUGACGGGUAGCUCGCCUGAGAGGGUGAUCGGCCACACUGGAACGGAGACACGGUCCAGACUCCUACGGGAGGCAGCAGUGGGGAAUAUUGGACAAUGGGCGCAAGCCUGAUCCAGCCAUACCGCGUGGGUGAAGAAGGCCUUCGGGUUGUAAAGCCCUUUUGUUGCGAAAAAAAAGCAGCAGGUUAAUACCCCGCUGUUCUGACGGUACCCAAAGAAUAAGCACCGGCUAACUUCGUG
Molecule: ribosomal RNA, 488 nt
Filed under: uncultured bacterium
Lineage: Bacteria
Description: partial 16S ribosomal RNA
Rfam family: Bacterial small subunit ribosomal RNA
Source: RNAcentral